ACCGAAGAAGACGCCGGCGAAAAAGAAGAAGCAAAGGAAGAAAAAAGUGAGGGAGAAACCACAGUAGAAAAAGGAAAAAAGCAAAAAGCAAUACUAUAGCUUCAUGUGGGGUUUGUACAUAAAAGGAUAUUAAAAUAAGGCGUGGUUGCAAACAGCUUCUAUUCUCCGUUCAUCUGUGGCUGUGGCUGUGGCUUUCAUCUUCUUUCUUGGAGAUUCCUUUCCCACUUCGCGUUAUCAGUUCGAUUCCUCCAACAGUGGCUUCAAAUUCUCUUCAAAAUCAUUCUCAUUCUUGCAUUGAGUACUCUACUGCCCCUUCUUUUGAUCGUUUGUGUUGAUCAUUCCUAUUGUUUUACUCUGGAUUUUCCUGUGGUGAAUUCAGAGUUUGAUUUGUUGCUUACUUCCUAAUAUUUCAUGGUUGAAGUUAUUGGAAACAUACUUUCUCAUCUAAAAUCUGCUAGAGAUGCGGUGAUUGCUUCGGUUACUUAUAAGAAAUGGAGAUAGGCUUGGCGGAAUCACCUCCAUUCUUUGACCUUCAACUCGAAUGUUUGGCCUUAUCCUGAUGAAAUUUCAACGUGAACCUUGGAAGUUAUUAUAACACAAACAAUACCUCAGACCACUGGACUUCAGAACUUGUCCAUUUUCAUGGAUGAUGAUGUAGAUGCAUUCUUCUCGUUGAUUUCUUGGCUCAUGUGUACGAGAGACACAAUCUGUUGACUUCACUAUAAUGUGAAGACUAUUCCAAGUAUCAAUGUAAUUGAUAAGUGUGGUGGACAAAAACUGGAAAGGCUAAUAAUUCGAUAAGCGGCAUUGAACCGACGUAUCAUAAGUUCUCUUGCUUGAAAUAUCUAUCUCUCAGUAAUAUCAUCAUAUCUGCAACCUUCUUCUUGCAGUUUGUCUCAAGCUUGAAAAGUUCGCUCUAAUUAACCCAGAACUUGUGAUGUCAGAUACGCAGACAGCAAUGGAACAUAGCAGUUCUCCAUUGAAGGAUAUCUUUGUUGGAAACCUCGGUUUAUAGAAGUUCACUCUAGAGCUUGAUACCCUUGAAAUUUUACAUUUAAAAGAAUGUGCUAUACAUAUUUUUGAGCUCAUUGGAAAAGCAACUCUAAUGAGUCUUGAAGAUAGACGAUUUUAGUGGUUUCCAACUGAACGUAGGCAAGAACAUAUGAAAUUAUGGACGUCUGCAGUUUUGCUUCGGAUGUGAGGUGCAGCAUGUGAUUAUAGUGAUGAAGAUGUGGAUUUGUACUCAAUUUCCAUCUCUUUCUCCAAGUUAAGCUAUUUAUCUUUGCAUUAUUAUCCAAGGCAUGGAACCUUUCAUCAUAACUUUCGGGAAUCCUUUCAGAUGGAGAAUGUGACCAUACUAGAACUUGGAUGGAGCGACACUAGCGAUCCCUUCUCUAACUGGGUGGCUAAACUUCUUGAAAAAUGCCCUAAGUUGAAGAAAUUGAUAAUUUGUGGGGCUGUAUCAGAGAUUAAUAACCACGAGGAAUGCCAAAACUUAGCUCACUUCAUCACAUAUUUCGUUGAACUUAUGAGAAAAUAUCUGCAUAUUGAGGUCCAGUUUGGUUUCGAAUAGCAUUUAGGCAACUGCGGAAGCGCAAAUGUAACUACUUAGGUAUAUUGUCUCCAGAAUUGUCAUCAUCAUCGAAGUUAUGAAAAGUAUGUUUUCCUCUCUAUCUUUAACUUCAAGCAAUUGUAAAUCCAUAUGUUCUUGGAAAGAAAUAAGAUCUCUGUUUUCCUUACCAUCCUACUAAUAUUUCUUAUUGGCUUUCCUUCUUUUGAUCUUUUUUUACAUAACAAUGUUUGCACUUGACAUUUUACCGAUGUUAUGCUAUCCUUUGACCCAAAUGCCCGAGGCAUUAAGAGAUGCAUGUGUUCCCCUGCUAACAAGAAAUAUUUUUUUUACUGUUGCUUUCCCAUGAGAUUUUGCUCCAUGACUGACAUUUAUCCUACACUCUUUGGGCCAAAGACCACCGAAAAAAUCAAACCUGUCAUCAUCAUCUUAGUUGUUUUACUCAAUAAUAACCCCCCAUUUUCUACUACUUGUUAUGUAUUUGUAACUGUUUUUAUGUCAUGGAUAUGCCAAAGCCAAAUAGUUCUUUCCAGUUUCAAUUUGUUGCUAAAUGGUAAUAGAUGCUAUUUUUACAGAAUUGGAAACCUUUCUGGCUCCUAUAUUGAAAUGAAAGAAGAGAGAAAAAUAAAAAUUAGAGUAAUGAUUAAAUUUGAUUUUGUUAGAUUGAUUUUUUUUUUUUAAUUUUGAGAUCUUGAGAAGGUAUCCAAAUAUUGAAAAAUAGAAAAAGUGUAGAACCCAAGUUAGAUAAAUUGAUUGUAAGACUAUGAAGUUCAGAUUUUGAACCAAUCGAAACCAGAUAAAAUAUGAUACCGCAAAGGUGAUUCAUUCUCUAUUCUAAUCUUUAUAGCUUACAAAGACCGGAAGAUUUAUCAGAUUUUAUGCAGAUUAUGCCUAUCUACUUCAUUACAAAACCUCGACGAAUCCAUAAGGAAGCAAAGUCAAAAUCUUGUACUGCUAGGCCAUUCAUCAGUACAAGAUUUGAGUCAAUGAAGAAAAUUAUGACGAGCAGCUCAAAUUCCUACUAGAUGUUCUGCUCUCUAAGAUGCCGAGUUCUCGAUUUCCUGCAUGCACGAGGUUUUCCUGUGACCCUUUGGAAGUUAUCUGCUAACUACUUAAGUGCGUUCCAUGUUGCCAUAAGCAUGACCGGAACAUUUGAACAUUUUCUUUCACAAUGGACAGCUCAAAGUUCUCCUCAUUACACGAAGCUUUUCCUUUGCUCUUUGUGCUUUCGUAUGAAAAUUCUUUGUUUCCUCCAAGUACUGCAAAAAUGUAGGGUAACAGCAAAGUUAAAUCUCAGAUAUUUUAAAGAAGGUACUGUUGAAGGACAGAUGCAGCUCAAAUCCAUGUUUUUAAAAGACAUCAUGAUCAUUGUGGCAAUCAGGUCAAACUCUUGGAUUGAGAAAGAUGUUGAAGGGACGACUUUACUGUGUUCUUGAAAUUUAAAGAAAGAACUUCAAGGAAAUAAAAUUUGCAUACAUUGAUUACAAGAUUAGGAUCUAACUACAAAUUUUAUUUCCUUGAAUUUCUUUCUUUAAAGAUGCAAUACAUUCGAAGUGAGAGAGAUAUCAGGUGACCAGUAUAUAUCUUUACAGCUGCCAAACACGUAUGCUGAUAGAUGCUAUGCAACAAUUUUUAGAUGUACAUAAAUUUUACACAUGAAGAGAUAUAGCAGUUAUUAUUUGAAAUGUCAAUCGUGCAUUUAUUUUCAUAUCAUAAGGAAAUAAAAUGCAAUUCUAUCCUACUUAAUAUUGCUUGAAAUUGUAUCAGGUUAGGAAUGGAGCAGUCAAUAGCCAGUUGUUUUAGAAAAGGCCUGUUUCAAAGUAGGGAUGAAAAUGCAUUUUCUUGCCAUUUUACUGAAUAACUAUCAAAGCUGUACUAGAAAAAGAAAAAUGCACCUGUUUUCUAGCUCUAGACCUUGCAGCUGACUCUCUAUUCUUUAUCAUCCUUCU
Molecule: long non-coding RNA, 3519 nt
Organism: Cucumis sativus (cucumber)
Lineage: Eukaryota; Viridiplantae; Streptophyta; Magnoliopsida; Cucurbitales; Cucurbitaceae
Exons: 5
Source: RefSeq, a predicted model, not a curated record